Molecule: ribosomal RNA, 253 nt
Filed under: uncultured bacterium
Lineage: Bacteria
Description: partial 16S ribosomal RNA
Rfam family: Bacterial small subunit ribosomal RNA
Source: RNAcentral
UACGUAGGAGGCAAGCGUUGUCCGGAAUUACUGGGCGUAAAGCGCGUGUAGGUGGUGGUACAAGUCUGCUGUGAAAGCGCCUGGCUUAACCGGGCGAGGUCGGCGGAAACUGUCCGACUCGAGGACGGUAGAGGGGGGUGGAAUUCCCGGUGUAGUGGUGAAAUGCGUAGAGAUCGGGAGGAACACCUGUGGCGAAGGCGGCCACCUGGGCCGGCCCUGACACUGAGACGCGAAGGCGUGGGGAGCGAACGGG